This is a long non-coding RNA of Lagopus muta (rock ptarmigan), 633 nucleotides long. RefSeq lists it as uncharacterized. Lineage: Eukaryota; Metazoa; Chordata; Aves; Galliformes; Phasianidae. The transcript is spliced from 3 exons. The record is from RefSeq and is a predicted model, not a curated record.
CAAGCUUCAGCCUGCUGGCAAGCACUGUAUAGAGGCCUAAUGGGAAUUAGGCAGGGAAGAAAGGUUGCCUGGAUUUAAAAAGGGUGUGAACCUUCCAAGCUCUCAGGGAGCUACAGAAAAAGGAGUAGAGUGUCAGAGGUCAGGUGGGCUGGCAAGGUACUGAGUUGCUAGUGAAACUGAGCAGAGAAUUCAGAAAACUGUGCUCAAGAGCUUUGUAUUCUCCCCAGUUUUCAGUGUGACCUUGGCUGCUUCAGAAAGGCACAACGGAUUCAACAGGAUCAACAGCAGAACGUGCAGCAUUGCAGAUGUAAAGAAACCCUUUCAAAAAAGUCUAAUUAUACAGACCUAAGUCUGAAGUGUCAGAUCUAUAUAUGAACUGAUUAUAUAUUCCAUAUUUAUUACAUAUCUUACAUACAUAUUGUGUUCUGUAUGUGUUGGCAGCCCAAAGCAUUUUAGCUUAACUUCCAAACUUUGAAGAAAUGUUGUUGCUUGGCUGCUGGCCACAAUGAGUAGGGAAGACAAAGUGAUAAUAAACCUUACAGACCGAAACACUGGAUCAUUUCUAGCUUCCAUUAAGGACAAUAUAACUUUAUCAUUGACUCCUUCAACACAGAGGCUGUAAUUGCUAUACCC